CGGCGCCUCUCAUCUUGCUCGUCCAAGAUAACGUUACACUAAUUACAAAAGCGUGACAUCUUCUUUUCCUUUUCCUUUGUGUUGCUCCGACAGCCGCCUCGCCGCUUACAACGCGGUAGCAAAAACAAAUGUCAACGUUAAUAGCGAUCUGACGUUAGUGCUAGCUUUAAGCUAACUAACGUUAGCCCCAAUCAGGGCGGUUUGGGGGUUGAAGGAAAAAGUGAAUGCAGUGUCUGUUGUAAGUUAAUGUAUGUUAGCAAACAUCAGCAUUUAGAUCGUACAGUUCGCGCAGGUUAAAACGCAUUGUUUUUGAGGUUGAGGGACGUUUGACUGCACAAAAAAAAAUGUUAAUGGCUGCAUCUUGAGCUAAUGUGGCUAAGCUAGCUUGUCAUGUGUAUGCCCUGUGCAGGUCAGUAUCCAUGGAGUACUGCUAGCUAGCUAAGUAGCCCAAGUUGGCUAGGCCUGCACGGUGUUGCUGCUGCUCGGUGUACAGUGUUGCCCUUUUUGGUUUUCACAUGUUUCUUUGCUUUGUAUUCAUUGCAAUGUCAAGUUGCAAAGUAUUGUUGCGGAAUAGAUUCCUCUCACCAAGAUGCAGCCCGAACCAAACAGUAACGUUAGUUGUUGCACAAAUAUAUCUUACUUACUUACUUUUCCAAAUGAUUUACUCUGUUUUGCACUUAUUAACCUCAUUAGUUGGAAACGAAUACAUCUUUUCCAGUUGUGAAGCUCGGUGGACUUCUGGAUAUUCUCUCUCUCUCUCUCUCUCUCUCUCUCUGUAAGUUAAGGAAACUUGCCUUUGGGGGAGAUUGGAGAAACUAAUCUCUCACUUUUCUUUUUCAUACCUCAGAUGAUUCGUACCAGACCAGAAAGCACUACUAACGCCGAAUACCGCUCCAUGACCUGAUUAUGGGCUUGAGGGCCAGAUACUUAUGGAGCACCCCUAGAGCGCACCGCAGCACACAGUGAGCCGGUUAAGGUCUUAUGAGUUUGGACAGCGUGAGGAAUGUGAACCCUUCACACGAUCUUACUACUGGCCGCGGCCCGGGAAAGCUCAUUAAAGUCUAGACUUUAGAGGGAGCGUGUAUUUGAGGAGCACUGCUACAUAAGAAGUCUCGCCCGCUGCCUUGCUGUCGCAGACGCAUGCGUGAACACUUGCAUCAGUCGAUGUUGUUCGAUCAGAGAUUUUGUAUAGUGUCAUUCAUAUCUCAAAACCACAUUAUAUCUAGUAUACAACUCGCUUUGUGGCGAGAAGAUGGUUGGUUUCUCGUAGUGUCUAUGAAGCACCAUUGAGGGAAGAUGUAGUUUGGUUAGGCCUUCAUUUAUGCACUUUUCUCUUUUUGAUGUCUGGGUGCAAUAGUUUCAAUGGGUUUGAAAUCCUAAACUAACGAGGGGAUUGUGCAGAAUAAUUACCGGUGGUAUUGAGACGUCUGCGCUCUGUUCGAUUCCCACAUCAAAGGACUGCAUUAUUUCGCUGCGAGUGAAACUCUAAAAUGACUCAUUGAAAAUGAUAAGCCGGUGGAAGGAUUUUGCUCUGCGGGUUACAUAACCACACUGUGUGUUUUGUGUAUUAGCAGAUGUGCUUUUUGGGGACAGUUUUCAGCGAAGCAUGCAUCACUUUUUAAUAACUUGGAUUGUUAAGAAAAUACAUUUUCAGAGUUUUCAGAACAAACAUUCAUUUCAGCCCUCCUUGUGCCUUUUAAAAAAAUAGUGUGGAAGGUGGUGCAUGUUAAGUCAUGUUACGGCAGUGGCUUCUUGUGCAAUUUUUUUUAUUCCUGUCAUCAAGACGCAGCGUAAUCUGCUGGGCUCUGUGUUUAAGACGGCCAUGUGAGGCUGUCGGCGCAGGGCUCGCCCUCCCGUUGUGGUCUUAAGCUCUCGGAGCGCAGUGCUCCAAUUCUCAGAAAGGAUCAGAGUCAAAAUGCACAGGAAGACAGGUUUGUCUUUGUCGAGAGACACAUUCUACACAAAAGGCUUCCGCUUGUACUCGCAACACUGAUACGUCCGUUUGGCUUUAAUAACGACUCAGAAAAUUGAUUUUUAUUUUCCCCGGCUACUUUCAUUCUGCCGUAUUUACAGUCACGUGAGAUGAAGCG
Molecule: long non-coding RNA, 2090 nt
Organism: Gasterosteus aculeatus aculeatus (three-spined stickleback)
Lineage: Eukaryota; Metazoa; Chordata; Actinopteri; Perciformes; Gasterosteidae
Source: Ensembl